UGGCUCAGUGGUAGAGUGCUUGCUUUGCAUGCAUGAGGCCCUGGGUUCAAUUCCUCG
RNAcentral lists this transfer RNA (57 nucleotides) under Dipodomys ordii (Ord's kangaroo rat). It matches the Rfam family "tRNA", at positions 8 to 63 of the family's 71-position model. Rfam says of the family: Transfer RNA (tRNA) molecules are approximately 80 nucleotides in length. Their secondary structure includes four short double-helical elements and three loops (D, anti-codon, and T loops). Lineage: Eukaryota; Metazoa; Chordata; Mammalia; Rodentia; Heteromyidae. The record is from Rfam by way of RNAcentral.